RNAcentral lists this ribosomal RNA (440 nucleotides) under uncultured bacterium. Its description in RNAcentral is "partial 16S ribosomal RNA". It matches the Rfam family "Bacterial small subunit ribosomal RNA", at positions 338 to 795 of the family's 1533-position model. The record is from RNAcentral.
CCUACGGGUAGCAGCAGUGGGGAAUAUUGCACAAUGGGGGAAACCCUGAUGCAGCGACGCCGCGUGAGUGAAGAAGUAUUUCGGUACGUAAAGCUCUAUCAGCAGGGAAGAAACUGACGGUACCUGACUAAGAAGCCCCGGCUAACUACGUGCCAGCAGCCGCGGUAAUACGUAGGGGUCAAGCGUUAUCCGGAUUUACUGGGUGUAAAGGGAGCGUAGACGGCAGCGCAAGUCUGGAGUGAAAUCCCAUGGCUUAACCAUGGAACUGCUUUGGAAACUGUGCAGCUAGAGUGCAGGAGAGGUAAGCGGAAUUCCUAGUGUAGCGGUGAAAUGCGUAGAUAUUAGGAGGAACACCAGUGGCGAAGGCGGCUUACUGGACUGUAACUGACGUUGAGGCUCGAAAGCGUGGGGAGCAAACAGGAUUAGAUACCCUUGUAGUC